AGCUCCAAUAGCGUAUACUAAAGUUGUUGCAGUUAAAAAGCUCGUAGUUGGAUUUCUGCGUGAGCGGGACAGCCGGUGGCUUCUAGCCGCAAGUGCUUGUAACGUUCGCGCAUCCGGUCGAACGCCGUGCUACCAUUCAGUUGGUGGUGCGAGCUUACGGCCCAUUUACUUUGAGAAAAAUAGAGUGUUCAAAGCAGGCCAAUGCCUUGAAUAAUUUAGCAUGGAAUAAUGAUAAAGGACUACGGUUCUAUUUUGUUGGUGUUCGGGACUGAAGUAAUGAUUGAUAGGGACAGUUGGGGGCGUCAGUAUUCCAAAGCGAGAGGUGAAAUUCUUAGACCUUCGGAAGACUAACCGCUGCGAAAGCGUUCGCCAAGGAUGUUCCCU
This 384-nucleotide ribosomal RNA is filed under the name uncultured eukaryote. RNAcentral describes it as "SSU rRNA". It matches the Rfam family "Eukaryotic small subunit ribosomal RNA", at positions 587 to 972 of the family's 1831-position model. The record is from RNAcentral.